RNAcentral lists this ribosomal RNA (527 nucleotides) under uncultured bacterium. RNAcentral describes it as "bacterial SSU rRNA". It matches the Rfam family "Bacterial small subunit ribosomal RNA", at positions 248 to 772 of the family's 1533-position model. The record is from RNAcentral.
GUUGGGGGGGUAACGGCCCACCAAGACUACGAUGGAUAGGGGUUCUGAGAGGAAGGUCCCCCACAUUGGAACUGAGACACGGUCCAAACUCCUACGGGAGGCAGCAGUGAGGAAUAUUGGUCAAUGGACGCGAGUCUGAACCAGCCAAGUAGCGUGAAGGAUGACUGCCCUAUGGGUUGUAAACUUCUUUUAUAUGGGAAUAAAGUUGUCCACGUGUGGAUUUUUGUAUGUACCAUAUGAAUAAGGAUCGGCUAACUCCGUGCCAGCAGCCGCGGUAAUACGGAGGAUCCGAGCGUUAUCCGGAUUUAUUGGGUUUAAAGGGAGCGUAGGCGGAUUGUUAAGUCAGUUGUGAAAGUUUGCGGCUCAACCGUAAAAUUGCAGUUGAUACUGGCAGUCUUGAGUGCAGUAGAGGUGGGCGGAAUUCGUGGUGUAGCGGUGAAAUGCUUAGAUAUCACGAAGAACUCCGAUUGCGAAGGCAGCUCACUGGAGUGUAACUGACGCUGAUGCUCGAAAGUGUGGGUAUCAAA